CUUCAUUCACUAUUCUCUACACCAAUUACAACUUCAAAAAUCAAAAUAAUCCCCAAUAUUGAAACCGUUUGCAUCUAUUCUCCACCAUCGGUAAUUCCUCUAAUUCCACCAUCGGUUGAGUCCUCUACCGUCAUUCACCAUUCACUCAUCAAACUCUGAUGGAGACUCAUCCGCCAUACCAUUAGCCCAUCAAUGGAUUCAGGGGAGAGAAUAAGAGAAUUGGUAAAUGGGUGAAUAUCGGAGUCAGGUCGUUGCGAAAUUGUUGUUGAGGAUGAGUUGGUAUUGUAAUGCCGAUUGACAACGACAAUUAAUCACCGAAUAUUGAGAAGUGAAAGGGAGAAGACUCAAGGAUUUUUAAGAAUUUGAGAUAAUGUUUAUGUUAUUUUGCAGACUUCGAGAGAAUAGUUAUGUGGUUCACUAUGAUUGAAAGAAAAAGAAAGAGAUGAGAGAGAUGAGAGAUCUUGAGAAAGAUCUGAAAUAUUGUUAUUUGUUCAGUCUAUCUACCGCCUUACCUGCUGCUUCUCUUACUAGGAAAAAAAAAUAUCGCAUCCAUGAUUGAUUUGUGUCUUCUUGCUUCUUGCUGAACGGUGGAAAACCACCUUCAAGUUAUCAAUCUUGUGUCAAACUUGCUGGGGAGCCCCUCUUGGGCCUCAUCUCCAAGAGGUGGAUCAGAAGGAUUAAGAAGGUUGAAAGCUUCUAUGGCAAACAAGGAAUGGGUGGCUGAUUUAGAGAAACCCAAGGGUGAUCCAUCUUCAUUUAUAAAACCAGCAACAACUGUUUUGUCACCUUACUUAAAAGUUAAAAGUAGGUUAUGCAUAGUGUUUUCGAUUUGUUUAUUGGGUUAAUAGCCAAAAAAUACACGAACUUUCACCGAAUUUACAAAUUGCACAUGACCUUCAAAAAUAGCCCCAGAAUACAUGACCUUUCAAUUUAAUCGUGAUUUUCACCCGCGUUGACCAACACAUUCGCCACUGUUGACGUGGCUCCCGGAAUUUGUCUACGUGGUCGACCAGAGACGGUAGGAAUACGACGCCGUUUAAUACUUACAUUCUAACACACUGAACGACGUCGUUUUAAGAAAUUAAACGAAUUAAUAUACUUUAAAUUGAAAUCCAACGUUCUUCCUCUACAAUUAGGGUUCUUGCGCCUAAUCUCCCGAUUUCUAGAAUGCCAUCGAAUUGAAGGGAUAAACGCGGAUCGUGAAGAAAGAAGGCAGAUCGAGGAAGAAUCAUGAGUCAUUCGCGAAGUUCUUCGUCAAUUGAAAGGUCGAGUAAAGGCGUCUACAGGAGAUGUUUUCAUAAACUCCCUAUGAUUAUGAAAACUUCUCACACUGAGAAGAAUCCAGAGAGGAGGUACGUUGAAUGUGGACAGAGAGAUGGCGAGGAUUGUCGUUUUUGGGAUUGGGUCGAUCCAGAGCUAACACCAUAUUACAAGCUCUGUUUUAACAAUUUAAGAAAUGAAAGAGAUGCUACAUUCGUCGAAAUGGAGGGCCUUCGUCGCUUGAUGGAUGACAGUGGGUAUGAAGGUGAUGGAGUUGAAGCCCUUGAGUCCAUGGUGAACAAUAAAGAUAUGCCAAGUUCAGUGGAAGCAAAGUUCAAAGCAAUGGAAUGUAGACUUAGAAUUCUCACUUUUGCUUUGAUUGUUGUAGUAAUUAUGUUUCUGUAUUCUAAGAUGUAAUUUUCCCUUUGUUAAUG
Molecule: long non-coding RNA, 1694 nt
Organism: Salvia miltiorrhiza (redroot sage)
Lineage: Eukaryota; Viridiplantae; Streptophyta; Magnoliopsida; Lamiales; Lamiaceae
Exons: 4
Source: RefSeq, a predicted model, not a curated record